This is a long non-coding RNA of Poecile atricapillus (Black-capped chickadee), 354 nucleotides long. RefSeq lists it as uncharacterized. NCBI's taxonomy places the organism in Eukaryota, Metazoa, Chordata, Aves, Passeriformes, Paridae. The transcript is spliced from 3 exons. The record is from RefSeq and is a predicted model, not a curated record.
AUUUGGCUGUGGCAGGUACAAGAACCUUUUCUAGCCUCUUCCUUCAUGGUUUUCAGCUUAAGGACUGACUUCCUGAAGAUGCUUUCUGGAUGAACUGCAAAGUUGCUGUAAGGGAUUAUUUGAAUUGAUAAAUUAAAACAACUACUUCCAAGUGGAUUCUAAAGCAUGAGAGCUGACAUUGCCAGUAUGGGAGAUUCUCUGCUCAUGGAAGGCAGAAGAAACACUGUUCUUCUAGACCAACUGCAUGCUGUCAACAGAAUGUACAGAAAACAAAAAUACCAGGCAAGACCUGCUAUUUUGAGCACAAGCAACAGCAAUUGGAAAAUAACUUCUGGCCUGGAGACAAAGAGCCAC